GGAUGUAGCGCAGCUGGUAGCGCAUCUGGUUUGGGACCAGGGUGUCGCAGGUUCAAAUCCUGUCAUCC
This 68-nucleotide transfer RNA is filed under the name uncultured Treponema sp. It matches the Rfam family "tRNA". Rfam says of the family: Transfer RNA (tRNA) molecules are approximately 80 nucleotides in length. Their secondary structure includes four short double-helical elements and three loops (D, anti-codon, and T loops). Further hydrogen bonds mediate the characteristic L-shaped molecular structure. tRNAs have two regions of fundamental functional importance: the anti-codon, which is responsible for specific mRNA codon recognition, and the 3' end, to which the tRNAs corresponding amino acid is attached (by aminoacyl-tRNA synthetases). tRNAs cope with the degeneracy of the genetic code in two manners: having more than one tRNA (with a specific anti-codon) for a particular amino acid; and 'wobble' base-pairing, i.e. permitting non-standard base-pairing at the 3rd anti-codon position. Lineage: Bacteria; Pseudomonadati; Spirochaetota; Spirochaetia; Treponematales; Treponemataceae. The record is from RNAcentral.